RNAcentral lists this non-coding RNA (27 nucleotides) under Homo sapiens (human). Lineage: Eukaryota; Metazoa; Chordata; Mammalia; Primates; Hominidae. The record is from RNAcentral.
UUCCAAAGAGAAUGCCAAGCUGUCAAC